ACGCUAGCUACAGGCUUAACACAUGCAAGUCGAGGGGAAACGACAUUGAAGCUUGCUUCGAUGGGCGUCGACCGGCGCACGGGUGAGUAACGCGUAUCCAACCUGCCUCUGACUAAGGGAUAACCCGGCGAAAGUCGGACUAAUACCUUAUGAGGCUUUCUGCAGACAUCUAACGAAAACGAAAGAUUUAUCGGUCAGUGAUGGGGAUGCGUCUGAUUAGCUUGUUGGCGGGGUAACGGCCCACCAAGGCAACGAUCAGUAGGGGUUCUGAGAGGAAGGUCCCCCACAUUGGAACUGAGACACGGUCCAAACUCCUACGGGAGGCAGCAGUGAGGAAUAUUGGUCAAUGGGCGAGAGCCUGAACCAGCCAAGUAGCGUGCAGGAUGACGGCCCUAUGGGUUGUAAACUGCUUUUAUGUGGGGAUAAAGUGAGCUACGUGUAGUUUAUUGCAGGUACCACAUGAAUAAGGACUGGCUAAUUCCGUGCCAGCAGCCGCGGUAAUACGGAAGGUCCAGGCGUUAUCCGGAUUUAUUGGGUUUAAAGGGAGCGUAGGCCGUGGAUUAAGCGUGUUGUGAAAUGUAGACGCUCAACGUCUGAAUUGCAGCGCGAACUGGUUCACUUGAGUAUGCACAACGUAGGCGGAAUUCGUCGUGUAGCGGUGAAAUGCUUAGAUAUGACGAAGAACUCCGAUUGCGAAGGCAGCUUACGGGAGCACAACUGACGCUGAAGCUCGAAGGUGCGGGUAUCAAACAGGAUUAGAUACCCUGGUAGUCCGCACAGUAAACGAUGGAUGCCCGUUGUUAGUUCACUUUAGAAUUAGCGACCAAGCGAAAGCAUUAAGCAUCCCACCUGGGGAGUACGCCGGCAACGGUGAACUCAAAGGAAUUGACGGGGGCCCGCACAAGCGGAGGAACAUGUG
Molecule: ribosomal RNA, 919 nt
Filed under: uncultured bacterium
Lineage: Bacteria
Description: bacterial SSU rRNA
Rfam family: Bacterial small subunit ribosomal RNA
Source: RNAcentral